Molecule: transfer RNA, 70 nt
Filed under: Dipodomys ordii (Ord's kangaroo rat)
Lineage: Eukaryota; Metazoa; Chordata; Mammalia; Rodentia; Heteromyidae
Rfam family: tRNA
About the family: Transfer RNA (tRNA) molecules are approximately 80 nucleotides in length. Their secondary structure includes four short double-helical elements and three loops (D, anti-codon, and T loops). Further hydrogen bonds mediate the characteristic L-shaped molecular structure. tRNAs have two regions of fundamental functional importance: the anti-codon, which is responsible for specific mRNA codon recognition, and the 3' end, to which the tRNAs corresponding amino acid is attached (by aminoacyl-tRNA synthetases). tRNAs cope with the degeneracy of the genetic code in two manners: having more than one tRNA (with a specific anti-codon) for a particular amino acid; and 'wobble' base-pairing, i.e. permitting non-standard base-pairing at the 3rd anti-codon position.
Source: Rfam by way of RNAcentral
GGGAAUGUGGCUUAGUGGUAGAGGGCUUGCCUGGUAUGCAUGAAGCCCUGGGUUCGAUUCCUCAGUACUA